CAGAGUGCUAGGAUUACAGGCGUGAACCACCGCGCCCGGCCCAAGGAGGCAAAUUCUUGAUCACAGCCCCAGAAGGAGCCAGUCCUGCUGACGGCCUGAUUCCAGACUUGCAGCCUCCAGAACUGCGAGACAGGACGUUUCUGCUGGUGCAGCUGCCCGGCCUGUGGCAGGUUGUCUCAGACCAACUUUGGGAGAAGAUUGCCUGAAAUGACAACAUUGUAGAAUGCAGCAGGAUGUCUAUUUGUCUGCAUCUCGCCUGGAGUUCGUCAGUCCAGAGACUUUCUCCAGUUUCCAAAAGCACCACAGAGAGCCACGCCGUCCCCUCCUGGCCCUGUCCAAGUGGCACAGGGAGCUUCUGGGCUCCCUGGCCGGCGCUGGUUUGCAGCCUGAGCCCAGCCCCGGGAACAUUUCUUGAAUGAAUGAACGAAUGCACCGACUUUGGAGGCCCAUGGUGGCAUCGCACGCAGCACGACAGGGAAGCAUCGGAACAAAGCAGGGAAGUGAAUCCAUCAGGGAGUGGGAAUGUGAAACUGCAAGCUGAGAAAA
Molecule: non-coding RNA, 546 nt
Organism: Microcebus murinus (gray mouse lemur)
Lineage: Eukaryota; Metazoa; Chordata; Mammalia; Primates; Cheirogaleidae
Source: RefSeq, a predicted model, not a curated record